Molecule: ribosomal RNA, 310 nt
Filed under: Klebsiella pneumoniae
Lineage: Bacteria; Pseudomonadati; Pseudomonadota; Gammaproteobacteria; Enterobacterales; Enterobacteriaceae
Also listed under: 1 other name
Description: partial 23S ribosomal RNA
Rfam family: Bacterial large subunit ribosomal RNA
Source: RNAcentral
GUGUUUGGCACCUCGAUGUCGGCUCAUCACAUCCUGGGGCUGAAGUAGGUCCCAAGGGUAUGGCUGUUCGCCAUUUAAAGUGGUACGCGAGCUGGGUUUAGAACGUCGUGAGACAGUUCGGUCCCUAUCUGCCGUGGGCGCUGGAGAAUUGAGGGGGGCUGCUCCUAGUACGAGAGGACCGGAGUGGACGCAUCACUGGUGUUCGGGUUGUCAUGCCAAUGGCACUGCCCGGUAGCUAAAUGCGGAAGAGAUAAGUGCUGAAAGCAUCUAAGCACGAAACUUGCCCCGAGAUGAGUUCUCCCUGAGACUU